AGAGUUUGAUCCUGGCUCAGGACGAACGCUAGCGGCAGGCCUAACACAUGCAAGUCGAACGGUAAGGUCCCUUCGGGGAUACACGAGUGGCGCACGGGUGCGUAACACGUAUAUAACCUACCCAUAAGCGGGGGAAAGUCGCGGGAAACUGCGAAUAAUACCCCAUAAGAUCUUAAGAUGGCAUCAUCAAGAGAUAAAAGCUCCGGCGCUUAUGGAUGGGUAUGCGUCCCAUUAGCUAGUUGGUAAAGUAACGGUUUACCAAGGCAACGAUGGGUAACUGGUCUGAGAGGAUGAUCAGUCACACGGGCACUGAGACACGGGCCCGACUCCUACGGGAGGCAGCAGUGAGGAAUAUUGGACAAUGGGGGCAACCCUGAUCCAGCCAUGCCGCGUGGAGGAAGAANGNUCUCUGAAUCGUAAACUCCUUUUGUNNNGGAAUAANGANUUGCUNUAUGCANGNUUGNAGGUACCUGANNAANAAANANNGGCNAACUACGUGCCNGCAGCCGCGGUAAU
RNAcentral lists this ribosomal RNA (516 nucleotides) under uncultured Bacteroidota bacterium. RNAcentral's name for it is "uncultured Bacteroidetes bacterium partial 16S ribosomal RNA". It matches the Rfam family "Bacterial small subunit ribosomal RNA", at positions 8 to 524 of the family's 1533-position model. The record is from RNAcentral. Lineage: Bacteria; Pseudomonadati; Bacteroidota.